AGCGACGUAGCUCAGAUGGAAGAGCGUUGGGCUCAUAACCCAAAGGGCAGAAGAUCGAAACUUCUCGUCGCUA
RNAcentral lists this transfer RNA (73 nucleotides) under Trichosporon asahii var. asahii CBS 8904. RNAcentral's name for it is "tRNA-iMet (CAT) (tRNA-iMet-CAT-1 1 to 10)". It matches the Rfam family "tRNA". Rfam says of the family: Transfer RNA (tRNA) molecules are approximately 80 nucleotides in length. Their secondary structure includes four short double-helical elements and three loops (D, anti-codon, and T loops). Lineage: Eukaryota; Fungi; Basidiomycota; Tremellomycetes; Trichosporonales; Trichosporonaceae. The record is from RNAcentral.